This 115-nucleotide ribosomal RNA is filed under the name Thermotogae bacterium. Lineage: Bacteria; Thermotogati; Thermotogota; Thermotogae. The record is from RNAcentral.
AAGGGUGAGGAUAAUGUACCGGGACACACCCAGUCCCAUUCCGAACCUGGCCGUUAAGCCGGUAUGUGCCGAUGGUAGUACAGGUUAUGCUGUGCGAGAGUAGGUUUUGCCCUUC